UUCCAGACUCCUACGGGAGGCAGCAGUGGGGAAUAUUGCACAAUGGGGGGAACCCUGAUGCAGCGACGCCGCGUGGGUGAAGGAGUACUUCGGUACGUAAAGCCCUAUCAGCAGGAAAGAAAAUGACGGUACCUGACUAAGAAGCCCCGGCUAACUACGUGCCAGCAGCCGCGGUAAUACGUAGAGGGCAAGCGUUAUCCGGAUUUACUGGGUGUAAAGGGAGCGUAGACGGCAGUGCAAGUCCGGAGUGAAAGCCCGGGGCUCAACCCCGGGACUGCAUUUGGAACUGUGCUGCUAGAGUGUCGGAGAGGCAGGCGGAAUUCCUAGUGUAGCGGUGAAAUGCGUAGAUAUUAGGAGGAACACCAGUGGCGAAGGCGGCCUGCUGGACGAUGACUGACGUUGAGGCUCGAAAGCGUGGGGAGCGAACAGGAUUAGAUACCCCCGUACGA
RNAcentral lists this ribosomal RNA (449 nucleotides) under uncultured bacterium. RNAcentral's name for it is "partial 16S ribosomal RNA". It matches the Rfam family "Bacterial small subunit ribosomal RNA", at positions 329 to 794 of the family's 1533-position model. The record is from RNAcentral.